Mauremys reevesii (Reeves's turtle) is the source of this 480-nucleotide long non-coding RNA. RefSeq lists it as uncharacterized. NCBI's taxonomy places the organism in Eukaryota, Metazoa, Chordata, Testudines, Geoemydidae. The record is from RefSeq and is a predicted model, not a curated record. The transcript has 4 exons.
GUGAUGUAUGCCCUGUCACCCUCCCUCAGGGUCUCUGCCAGGGGAGAGGACUAUUAACUUAAAGACUGGACUGCAUAGGUCUCUGCCAGGGGAAACUGUUCAAGGCUGAACUAAAACCUGGAAGUCCCAACCAGAUCACUGAAUUCCCCAGUUUACCAUUAAGACAAGACAUCUGAAAGAGAAUUCCACAGGAUCCAUUGUGGCAUCUGAUUCCAAAAUCUACUCAACAAUUUGCUAUGCUGAAAACAAAAGGGUACCGAGUGGAGAAAACAUUGGCUGUAAAUGCAGGAUAUUCACUGAAGAGGAACAAAUGUUAAGCAGUCUAUUUUGACUCAAAUUGAAGUACAGCAGACUUACAAUGUUUUUGACACUUGACAUGUUUAUUCUUUUAAAGAGAGCCAUAAUCACAUUUAACUGUUUUGUGAAUUUCACUUAACUGCUUUAUUUCAUUGACAACACUAACUUUUCAAGCACAGAAGA